GAUUUAGACCAUUAUUUACCGCUAUGAUUGAUGAUUAUGAUUCAUUUUUAUGAUUUUGUAUUAAUUGUUUGCAAUAUGUACUAAUUGUUGUUAAUAGUCGGAGGUACAUGUUCUAAUCUUUUUCGCUUCCAUUGUAUUCUUGAUAGAAUUUCGUUUUAGAUUUUAUAUCUACCAUUUGGUAUCAGAGCACAAAUUUUAUACCUCUGUCUUGUUUGAUGGUCAUGUUUCAAAAAAUUUGAGUUUUAGAUAUUUUAUUUUAGACCCCUUAAAUUCAAAAUAAAAUGAAAAUAUUUGUACAUGUUUCUAGGUAAUUAAAUGUUUGUAUUUUGCAUAUAUACAAUAUGAUUAUCUUGUGUUUUAAUCGUACAAUUAUGUAUAAUUGAAUUAAUUGUUGACUGUUUUAUGCAUUUUAAUCAUUUUGAAUUAAAAUGUCAAGAUGAUCUAUAUGAUGUUAAUUAAUCAAGGAAUAGCCGCAACAUCUUUAAUUAUGAAAAUUAUAUGUUAAAUGUUAAGAUCAUGAUAUUAAUGGUAAUUGAUUAUUUUGAACAUAGUAAAGCUUAUCCUACAAGAAUUCUUAUUAUGUUUAUAUAAUUAAUUAGGAUAAAAUAUCAAUUUAUAUUUUCUAAUUUAUCCACAAGAAUUAGGAAAAGUAACAUAUUUUGAUAGUUUUAUUAAUAAGUUAUAUAUGAAUCUAAUUGAAUACGAUUUAGCAUAGAGGUAGGUUUUAUGUCACUAGGUUUAUAGUUUGAAAUAUGAUUUACAUUGGUAAAACAUGACAUUUGCUAGUAGUCUCAAUUUUUGUUUAAUUAUAAGCAUGUAUAUUUAAUUUUUGCAGCUAUACAACCCAUGAAUUUUAAUUUUUUCUCUAAUUUUAAGUGUGAAAUUUCCGAAUUGAGGGCUGAAAAACUAUAAGGUUGAAAUGAGAGAAUUCUUCUUCAAUUAGGAUGGAUGAAUAUUGAUUAUGUUAUUCGAAAAGACGAACCAUCUCAUUUGACUAAUAUUAAUCUUCUGGAUGAUGUUGAUUUUUAUGAAAUGUGGGUUUGAUCUAAUCGUCUUAGUGUGAUAUUCAUAAAGAUCAAUUUGAUUAGCAAUUUGAAACAUCUAAUAAGGCACUUGCUAGCACUCUAAGUAUGAAGUUUUCAACCACGAAACGUAUCACUCUAAAAGGUGUGGGUGAGCACAUCAUGCGAAUAAGGAACAUUGCAUCACAACUAAAAACUCUUGAGACAUAAGGACAAAUGUCAAUCAAUGAGCUUAUGACCAUGUCUGUUCAAGAAGAAGAAAAGUUGGUGAUCGAAGCGAGUGAAGAUGUUCUAUUGACUUUUGUGGGAAAUAAUGUGAUACAAGCCAAGAAAAAUGGAAAGGCAAAAAUGUAGCCUUAAAGUGGAAUUAAGAAAGAGCCCAAGUAUUUAUUUUGUAAAAGAUAGGACACGGAAAAGAAGAAUUGCCCCAAAUUUAAGAAAUUGGUUGAGAAGAAAGGUAAACCAAUCUCGUUUUGUUUUUUACGAAUCUGAUAUUAUUGAUGUUAUUUAUAAGUCAUGAUGGAUUGAUUAUGGUUCUACGAUCUAUGUUUCGAACACCUUGUAUGGUAUGACAAGUCUAAGAAAAUCACUUUCAAGUGAGCAAGGCAUCUAUUUAAA
Molecule: non-coding RNA, 1640 nt
Organism: Cicer arietinum (chickpea)
Lineage: Eukaryota; Viridiplantae; Streptophyta; Magnoliopsida; Fabales; Fabaceae
Source: RefSeq, a predicted model, not a curated record